UUGUCCUUAGUUGCCAUCAUUUAGUUGGGCACUCUAAGGAGACUGCCGGUGUUAAACCGGAGGAAGGUGGGGAUGACGUCAAGUCCUCAUGGCCCUUAUGUCCAGGGCUACACACGUGCUACAAUGGCCGGUACAAAGAGCAGCAAUACCGUGAGGUGGAGCCAAUCUCAAAAAGCCGGUCUCAGUUCGGAUUGGAGUCUGCAACUCGACUCCAUGAAGUUGGAAUCGCUAGUAAUCGCGGAUCAGCAUGCCGCGGUGAAUACGUUCCCGGGCCUU
This 276-nucleotide ribosomal RNA is filed under the name uncultured bacterium. Its description in RNAcentral is "partial 16S ribosomal RNA". It matches the Rfam family "Bacterial small subunit ribosomal RNA", at positions 1105 to 1382 of the family's 1533-position model. The record is from RNAcentral.